Molecule: ribosomal RNA, 492 nt
Filed under: uncultured bacterium
Lineage: Bacteria
Description: partial 16S ribosomal RNA
Rfam family: Bacterial small subunit ribosomal RNA
Source: RNAcentral
AGUGAACGCUGGCGGUAGGCCUAACACAUGCAAGUCGAACGGCAGCACAGUAAGAGCUUGCUCUUACGGGUGGCGAGUGGCGGACGGGUGAGGAAUACAUCGGAAUCUACUUUUUCGUGGGGGAUAACGUAGGGAAACUUACGCUAAUACCGCAUACGACCUACGGGUGAAAGCAUGGGAUCUUCUGACCUUGCGCGAUUGAAUGAGCCGAUGUCGGAUUAGCUAGUUGGCGGGGUAAAGGCCCACCAAGGCGACGAUCCGUAGCUGGUCUGAGAGGAUGAUCAGCCACACUGGAACUGAGACACGGUCCAGACUCCUACGGGAGGCAGCAGUGGGGAAUAUUGGACAAAGGGCGCAAGCCUGAUCCAGCCAUACCGCGUGGGUGAAGAAGGCCUUCGGGUUGUAAAGCCCUUUUGUUGGGAAAGAAAAGCAGCAGGUUAAUACCCCGCUGUUCUGACGGUACCCACAGAAUAAGCACCGGCUAACUUCGUG